GACGAACGCUGGCGGCGUGCUUAACACAUGCAAGUCGAACGGAAAGGCCCUGCUUUUGUGGGGUGCUCGAGUGGCGAACGGGUGAGUAACACGUGAGUAACCUGCCCUUGACUUUGGGAUAACUUCAGGAAACUGGGGCUAAUACCGGAUAGGAGCUCCUGCUGCAUGGUGGGGGUUGGAAAGUUUCGGCGGUGGGGGAUGGACUCGCGGCUUAUCAGCUUGUUGGGGGGGUAGUGGCUUACCAAGGCUUUGACGGGUAGCCGGCCUGAGAGGGUGACCGGCCACAUUGGGACUGCGAUACGGCCCAGACGCCAACGGGAGGCAGCAGUGGGGAAUAUUGCACAAUGGGCGGAAGCCUGAUGCAGCAGCGUCGCGUGCGGGAUGACGGCCUUCGGGUUGUAAACCGCUUUCGCCUGUGACGAAGAGUGAGUGACGGUAAUGGGUAAAGAAGCACCGGCUAACUACGUG
RNAcentral lists this ribosomal RNA (468 nucleotides) under uncultured bacterium. Its description in RNAcentral is "partial 16S ribosomal RNA". It matches the Rfam family "Bacterial small subunit ribosomal RNA", at positions 28 to 507 of the family's 1533-position model. The record is from RNAcentral.